CGUGGUAUCCUGUCUGAAUAUGGGGGGACCAUCCUCCAAGGCUAAAUACUCCUGACUGACCGAUAGUGAACCAGUACCGUGAGGGAAAGGCGAAAAGAACCCCGGCGAGGGGAGUGAAAAAGAACCUGAAACCGUGUACGUACAAGCAGUGGGAGCACAGGUUUACCUGUGUGACUGCGUACCUUUUGUAUAAUGGGUCAGCGACUUAUAUUCUGUAGCAAGGUUAACCGUAUAGGGGAGCCGGAGGGAAACCGAGUCUUAAUUGGGCGUUAAGUUGCAGGGUAUAGACCCGAAACCCGGUGAUCUAGCCAUGGGCAGGUUGAAGGUUGGGUAACACUAACUGGAGGACCGAACCGACUAAUGUUGAAAAAUUAGCGGAUGACCUGUGGCUGGGGGUGAAAGGCCAAUCAAACCGGGAGAUAGCUGGUUCUCCCCGAAAGCUAUUUAGGUAGCGCCUCGUGAAUUCAUCUCCGGGGGUAGAGCACUGUUUCGGCUAGGGGGCCAUCCCGGCUUACCAACCCGAUGCAAACUGCGAAUACCGGAGAAUGUUAUCACGGGAGACACACGGCGGGUGCUAACGUCCGUCGUGAAGAGGGAAACAACCCAGACCGCCAGCUAAGGUCCCAAAGUCAUGGUUAAGUGGGAAACGAUGUGGGAAGGCCCAGACAGCCAGGAUGUUGGCUUAGAAGCAGCCAUCAUUUAAAGAAAGCGUAAUAGCUCACUGGUCGAGUCGGCCUGCGCGGAAGAUGUAACGGGGCUAAACCAUG
RNAcentral lists this ribosomal RNA (767 nucleotides) under Salmonella enterica subsp. enterica serovar Reading. RNAcentral describes it as "partial 23S ribosomal RNA". It matches the Rfam family "Bacterial large subunit ribosomal RNA", at positions 425 to 1191 of the family's 2925-position model. Lineage: Bacteria; Pseudomonadati; Pseudomonadota; Gammaproteobacteria; Enterobacterales; Enterobacteriaceae. The record is from RNAcentral.